AUUGAACGCUGGCGGCAUGCCUUACACAUGCAAGUCGAACGGCAGCACGGGAGCAAUCCUGGUGGCGAGUGGCGAACGGGUGAGUAAUAUAUCGGAACGUGCCCAGUCGUGGGGGAUAACGUAGCGAAAGCUACGCUAAUACCGCAUACGAUCUACGGAUGAAAGCGGGGGAUCGCAAGACCUCGCGCGAUUGGAGCGGCCGAUAUCAGAUUAGCUAGUUGGUGGGGUAAAAGCUCACCAAGGCGACGAUCUGUAGCUGGUCUGAGAGGACGACCAGCCACACUGGAACUGAGACACGGUCCAGACUCCUACGGGAGGCAGCAGUGGGGAAUUUUGGACAAUGGGCGCAAGCCUGAUCCAGCAAUGCCGCGUGCAGGAUGAAGGCCUCGGUUGUAAACUGCUUUGUACGGUACGAAAGACCUCUUCUAAUACAGGAGGUCGAUGACGGUACCGUAACGAAUAAGACACCGGCUAACUACGUGUCCACG
RNAcentral lists this ribosomal RNA (488 nucleotides) under uncultured bacterium. RNAcentral's name for it is "bacterial SSU rRNA". It matches the Rfam family "Bacterial small subunit ribosomal RNA", at positions 30 to 513 of the family's 1533-position model. The record is from RNAcentral.